Molecule: ribosomal RNA, 253 nt
Filed under: uncultured bacterium
Lineage: Bacteria
Description: partial 16S ribosomal RNA
Rfam family: Bacterial small subunit ribosomal RNA
Source: RNAcentral
UACGGAGGAUCCGAGCGUUAUCCGGAUUUAUUGGGUUUAAAGGGUGCGUAGACGGUAAUGUAAGUCUGGAGUGAAAGGCGGGGGCCCAACCCCCGGACUGCUCUGGAAACUAUGUUACUAGAGUGCAGGAGAGGUAAGCGGAAUUCCUAGUGUAGCGGUGAAAUGCGUAGAUAUUAGGAGGAACACCAGUGGCGAAGGCGGCUUACUGGACUGUAACUGACGUUGAGGCUCGAAAGCGUGGGGAGCAAACAGG